AGUAAAUAGAUACCCUCGGUAGUCCACGCCGUAAACGAUGUCGACUUGGAGGUUGUGCCCUUGAGGCGUGGCUUCCGGAGCUAAACGCGUUAAGUCGACCGCCUGGGGAGUACGGCCGCAAGGUUAAACUCAAAUGAAUUGACGGGGGCCCGCACAAGCGGUGGAGCAUGUGGUUUAAUUCGAUGCAACGCGAAGAACCUUACCUACUCUUGACAUCCAGAGAACUUAGCAGAGAUGCUUUGGUGCCCUCGGGAACUCUGAGACAGGUGCUGCAUGGCUGUCGUCAGCUCGUGUUGUGAAAUGUUGGGUUAAGUCCCGCAACGAGCGUCAACCCUUAUCCUUUGUUGCCAGCGGUUAGGCCGGGAACUCAAAGGAGACUGCCAGUGAUAAACUGGAGGAAGGUGGGGAUGACGUCAAGUCAUCAUGGCCCCUUACGGAUAGGGCGUACACACGUGCUACAAUGGCGCAUCAAAGAGAAGCGACCUGCCGAGAGCAAGACGGACCUCAU
This 508-nucleotide ribosomal RNA is filed under the name uncultured bacterium. RNAcentral describes it as "bacterial SSU rRNA". It matches the Rfam family "Bacterial small subunit ribosomal RNA", at positions 775 to 1277 of the family's 1533-position model. The record is from RNAcentral.